Molecule: long non-coding RNA, 797 nt
Filed under: Homo sapiens (human)
Lineage: Eukaryota; Metazoa; Chordata; Mammalia; Primates; Hominidae
Description: HSALNT0367100
Source: RNAcentral
CUUCCUUCCUUCGUCCCUUCCUUCCUUCGUCCCUUCCUUCCUCCCUCCCUCCCUCCCUCCCUCCCUCCCUCCCUACCUCCCUCCCUCCCUUCCUCCCUUCCUCUCUUCCUCCCUCCCUCUUUUCCUUCCUCCCUCCCUUCCUCCCUUCCUCAACGGAGUCUCGCUGUGUCGCCCAGGCUGGAGUGCAGUGGCUCAAUCUCAGCUCACGGCAACCUCCCCCUCCUGGGUUCAAGCGAUUCUCCUGCCUCAGCCUCCCAAGUAUCCGGGAUUACAGGUACCCACCACCAUGCCCGGCUAAUUUUUGUAUUUUAGUAGAGACGGGGUUUCGCCAUGUUGGCCAUGCUGUUCAGGCAUUUUUAUACAAGGCAAUUCCUGUCAGCUCACAACAGUACUAGGAGAAAAGUGGAGCUGUAUCCUUUUUGCAGCCAGCUCACGGUUUUAUCUUCAUCAGCCUGGUCAAAGCUGGAUUUCCAUCACACAUGUGCUCACUCCACGGAACGUGCAAAAGGUCAAGACAUACAAACUCAGAGUUUUUAAAAUCAAGAAUUGAAAGUGGUCCACUAGCUUCUGUUCAUAGGACAUUGAGCCCCAGAUUUGGCACAUGACCGUCACCCACUCGGAACAUGAAGCACAGCUUGCCAUUUCGGACGGCAAUCACAGCAUGGCGGCUGAAAAUCAAAGUUUCUGCCCUUCUGUGAGCCUGAGCUGUUUUCAUGAAAAUGCAGCCUAACAUGACUGCAUUGAUGAUCAAACCCACAAUAUUCUGGAGAAUCAAAACCGUGAUGGCCAAAGGGCAU